RNAcentral lists this ribosomal RNA (243 nucleotides) under uncultured bacterium. RNAcentral describes it as "partial 16S ribosomal RNA". It matches the Rfam family "Bacterial small subunit ribosomal RNA", at positions 774 to 1019 of the family's 1533-position model. The record is from RNAcentral.
AGGAUUAGAUACCCUGGCAGUCCACGCCGUAAACGAUGCAUACUAGGUGUUGGCCCUUUUGGGUCAGUGCUGCAGUUAACGCAUUAAGUAUGCCACCUGGGGAGUACGUCGGCAACGAUGAAACUCAAAGGAAUUGACGGGGGCCCGCACAAGCGGUGGAGCAUGUGGCUUAAUUCGAUGCAACGCGAGGAACCUUACCUGGGCUAAAUCCACAGCGCUACCUCUGGAAACAGAGGGUUUCUU